Molecule: long non-coding RNA, 269 nt
Filed under: Pan troglodytes (chimpanzee)
Lineage: Eukaryota; Metazoa; Chordata; Mammalia; Primates; Hominidae
Description: long non-coding RNA NONPTRT005215
Source: RNAcentral
GACCAGUUCGUGUCCCUGGACGGUGCUGGCAAAACCCCGACUCUGGGUGGCGGCUUCCACGUGAAUCUGGGGAAGGAGUCGAGAGCGCAGACCCUGCAGAAUGGGAGGCGCCACAUCCACCACCUGGGGAACCAGCUGCAGCUGAACCAGCACUGCCUGGACACCGCCUUCAACUUCUUCAAGAUGGCCGUGAGCAGGCACCUGACCCGCGGCCGGAAGAUGGCCCACGUGAUUGCUGCCUGCCUCUAUCUGGUCUGCCGCACGGAGGG